GCUUGUCACCACAAAAUCCACAAGUUAUUUAAUCUGUCCGUUUCCUGCCAGUGCUCUUGCUUUCUGUCCGCACCUUUUACUGAAACCAAUCAUAACAGGGGUAUGAAACAUCACCUGAAUAUGUGCAUGGUGGAAAUGAGCAUUUUGAUUUCCCAGCGUGCACAAAAAAAAGUGAGCGUAUGGAGGAGUCUCCAAAAGGUCUCCGCGAUUUCAUUGCAAGUCCCUGGCAACCCGGCUCGUCUCCAGGAGACGUCACGGAGACGUCUCCGCAACCAGCGGAGGCUGAGGUCGCC
Phyllopteryx taeniolatus (common seadragon) is the source of this 293-nucleotide long non-coding RNA. RefSeq lists it as uncharacterized. NCBI's taxonomy places the organism in Eukaryota, Metazoa, Chordata, Actinopteri, Syngnathiformes, Syngnathidae. The record is from RefSeq and is a predicted model, not a curated record. The transcript has 3 exons.